UAGGAUGGCAAACAAGAAGUCGACCAAAAUAUCCGGCAACGGUGGUGAGCAUAGUGGUGACAUGUGAUUUCCAUGCCUAUUUGUCGGCUCUACAAAAUGCACAUUUGAUUUCUCCAUAUUCAUUUGUUGAUUUCUACUUUCAUGAGAAGUUGAGAACUACUUGAGGCAGAGUAUUUACAUCCUCAAUUUCAUCCUUCACUCCUUGUAGGUGUACUUACCCUUCUCUUGCUGCUGUUGCAUCUAGAUAUGCAAUCUAUGCUAGCUUUGUGGAAGUGGAGAUGGAAAGGACGUUGUCAUUAGUCAAGUCAUGUGAGCGGGGAAGGGGCCAAAAAAGCGAAGCUAAAAACAGCUAACAGGCCCAUCAGAAUAUUGUAAGGAUGAAACUUUUCAUCCUUGCACAUCAUGUGAUAAUUGAAUACUAUAAUCACAUGACCUAUUUACUCGUUAUGAUCUCAUAUACAUAUUUUUGGGACAUUUUUUGUUCCUUUUCUUUCUUCACGGGCCAUCUUUAGUGCUUUUCCAGUUAAUGGUAUCUUUGGGCCGAAAUAUAAUAGUUGCUAAUGCCUUUGGAUCGUUUACUUUGUUGGUUUUAUGAUUCUUGGAGGAUUCAUCACAACUAAAGGUUGAUUCGUCAGAAAUAUUUUCAGCUACUUGAGGUUACAUUUUGAACCGAUACAUCUAACAUAUUGCAACCUUUUUCUGACUAUUUAAAAGAAAGCUCAGUCUGUUGGUUUUGGUGUUAUGGGAUCUCUCCUAUUAUAUAUGCACAAAAUGCUAUAUCAGUAUAUGAAUUCCAUGGGCAUUCUUGGUCCAAGGUGAACUUGAUUUUAAUAAUUCUCCGAAGAAGUUGUGCACUUUUCAUUUUGUCUCAACCAAUGUCGCUUUCAUCUUAAUCAUAGACAUGCGAGCCUAAUUUUUCUUGCAUAUUUUACUUGGUGGCUAACUCAAACUUAUUUGUUGUCAUUUUUGUAUUCAUCAUCACGAACAAGACCAGAUCACUGGAGUAGUCUCUGUCAAAACAUAUAACAAAUAAUAAGCCCUAUCACUACCUCUAGAGAACAAACAAGAGUUAAAUGAUGUAGAUUAUGAAUGAUGAACUCGUAAUGGGCGUGGAGGGCAGGUCUGCAAGGUGUUUUGGUAACCCUUUCUUGGUGUGAACAAUAUGGUCUGGUAUUGUUGUUAGUUGUCAAUCAAUCCAGGAUUUGACCUUGUUUGCAAAUUCAAGUGUUUUAUUAGAAGGAUGACGCAAAUCCAACACAAGGAACAUGUUAAUAUGCAUACUAUUGUUCUUCCUGAGUCAUUUGUGCAACAUAUAUUUUUCACCAUAGUAAUUGAAAUUUGACUCGUGUGUAGGUUGAUUUUGGUGUGUUCGAAGUUCUACAACUAUCAAAGGCUGCUCGUUCUGAAAGUUAUUCAGAAACAUGCACGCUGUGACCAACUUUUUUUUCAGAUAUCUCUAUUUUUCAAUGGUUUGUGCUGAUUCACAAAGGUGCAAUGAAAUUAUCUAAAAUCAUUUUAUUUUGGCUUCCCAUUGACUACUUUGAAGAGUGGGGCAUCCUGAUGUUUUCCUUUGACGUGCACAGUAUCCCUAUGUUUUUACACUACCAUUUUUUCAUUCUUUUUUAGUGUAUAUGAUGCACUUCUUUUGUCUAAGUUAACUCUUCAUUCUUCUCCUAUGCUCUUCCAGAUUGAUUACUCUUUAGACACUGAAUUAAAUGUUUCACAUUUUAUUGGAGAAUCAUAUAUCUAUGCUAGAUUAUAAUAUUUAGUUCAGAAUUGUGUAUCCACCUUUUUACUGAAUUUUACAAAUGUUUUUUGCUUGUUUAGUUUACCCAGCAUUAGGGCUCUCUCACAUUUUUGUCCUGAUUUUUAUAAAUAUCUGCUGGGGAUUCAUAUUUUUUCGUUAUUUCUUCCAUUUGUUUUGAAAGAGAAUAUCAGUUUUGAAUAGUCAUUAUCUUUGACCAUUAUAUUGUGAGUCGAUACAAUAAUUUCUCAUUUCAGGUCCACUCCCUCCUCGAAGAAUAUCUGAUUCAUUAUUCGUUUCGUGAAUUCUUUAUUCCAGCUCCUGCGGAGGAGGAUUAUGCACCCUUAUUAUCAUUGCGAAGAAGGCAAUAGAAGGCUAUGGAUUUUCUAGGGUGGGCACAUUUGCUGUCUGGUCUUCUGAUGCAACACUGUGAUUCACCUUUUGCUCUCUGGUUCUUGAAUUUUGGCUUUUGGCUGCUCGUGUAGUAUCGUCCUAAAUAAGUAGAUGAGUUCGAUCCAUCGUGUCCAUUUGUCCUUUGGGUAAAUAAAUGAAGAAAACUACAAAAAUAUAUAUUUUGUGCUGUGUGAUUUAUCUUGUAAGACUGUUACCUUUCUAUUAAGACACAUAUUACCUUGCUUUGCUUGCUCUGCUUUCUGAGUGAAUGCUCUGCUGCUGGUGCAGUUUAAUUAUGUCUAAUUUUUUAGAACUGGCAUUUAUUUAGACUGUAUAUACAUGUUUACAAAUUUAUCAGCUAGAUUAGUGUGUCGAGUCACGCAAAGGAGACGUGCCCUGGGUGCGUCCCUGUCACUAGUAUCUUAUUUUUUAUUUUUAUUUUUAUUUAUAAAGUUUACACUUGGUGGUCGUCCGUUCACUCCUAUGUACCACCUCUUUCUCUCAGCUCUGUCAAGCGAACCACGCGUAAGAACCUAC
Molecule: long non-coding RNA, 2674 nt
Filed under: Hordeum vulgare
Lineage: Eukaryota; Viridiplantae; Streptophyta; Magnoliopsida; Poales; Poaceae
Description: long non-coding RNA (HVUL_LNC004197)
Source: RNAcentral